AGCGGCGGACGGGUGAGUAACGCGUGGCAACCUGCCUUACACAGGGGGAUAACAGUUAGAAAUGACUGCUAAUACCGCAUAAGACCCCAGAACCGCAUGGUUCUGAGGUAAAAACUCCGGUGGUGUAAGAUGGGCCCGCGUCUGAUUAGGUAGUUGGUGAGGUAACGGCUCACCAAGCCGACGAUCAGUAGCCGACCUGAGAGGGUGACCGGCCACAUUGGGACUGAGACACGGCCCAGACUCCUACGGGAGGCAGCAG
RNAcentral lists this ribosomal RNA (259 nucleotides) under uncultured bacterium. RNAcentral's name for it is "partial 16S ribosomal RNA". It matches the Rfam family "Bacterial small subunit ribosomal RNA", at positions 94 to 354 of the family's 1533-position model. The record is from RNAcentral.